This 254-nucleotide ribosomal RNA is filed under the name uncultured bacterium. Its description in RNAcentral is "partial 16S ribosomal RNA". It matches the Rfam family "Bacterial small subunit ribosomal RNA", at positions 524 to 776 of the family's 1533-position model. The record is from RNAcentral.
CACGUAGGGUGCGAGCGUUGUCCGGAGUUAUUGGGCGUAAAGAGCUCGUAGGCGGUGUGUCGCGUCGGCCGUGAAAACCUGCAGCUUAACUGUGGGCUUGCGGUCGAUACGGGCAUCACUGGAGUUCGGCAGGGGAGACUGGAAUUCCUGGUGUAGCGGUGAAAUGCGCAGAUAUCAGGAGGAACACCGGUGGCGAAGGCGGGUCUCUGGGCCGAUACUGACGCUGAGGAGCGAAAGCGUGGGGAGCGAACAGG